UGGGGAAUUUUGGACAAUGGGCGAAAGCCUGAUCCAGCAAUGCCGCGUGUGUGAAGAAGGCCUUCGGGUUGUAAAGCACUUUUGUCCGGAAAGAAAUCCUUGGCUCUAAUACAGUCGGGGGAUGACGGUACCGGAAGAAUAAGCACCGGCUAACUACGUGCCAGCAGCCGCGGUAAUACGUAGGGUGCAAGCGUUAAUCGGAAUUACUGGGCGUAAAGCGUGCGCAGGCGGUUUGCUAAGACCGAUGUGAAAUCCCCGGGCUCAACCUGGGAACUGCAUUGGUGACUGGCAGGCUAGAGUAUGGCAGAGGGGGGUAGAAUUCCACGUGUAGCAGUGAAAUGCGUAGAGAUGUGGAGGAAUACCGAUGGCGAAGGCAGCCCCCUGGGCCAAUACUGACGCUCAUGCACGAAAGCGUGGGGAGCAAAACAGGAUUAGAUACCCCUGGUAGUCCACGCCCUAAAACGAUGUCAACUAGUUGUUGGGGAUUCAUUUCCUUAGUAACGUAGCUAACGCGUGAAGUUGACCGCCUGGGGAGUACGGUCGCAAGAUUAAAACUCAAAUGAAUUGACGGGGUCAUAGCUGUUUCCU
This 588-nucleotide ribosomal RNA is filed under the name uncultured bacterium. RNAcentral's name for it is "partial 16S ribosomal RNA". It matches the Rfam family "Bacterial small subunit ribosomal RNA", at positions 355 to 1375 of the family's 1533-position model. The record is from RNAcentral.